RNAcentral lists this ribosomal RNA (459 nucleotides) under uncultured bacterium. Its description in RNAcentral is "partial 16S ribosomal RNA". It matches the Rfam family "Bacterial small subunit ribosomal RNA", at positions 338 to 795 of the family's 1533-position model. The record is from RNAcentral.
CCUACGGGAGGCAGCAGUGAGGAAUAUUGGUCAAUGGGCGCGAGCCUGAACCAGCCAAGUCGCGUGAGGGAAGACGGUCCUAUGGAUUGUAAACCUCUUUUGUCGGGGAGCAAAAGACGCCACGCGUGGCGUUCCGAGAGUCCCCGAAGAAAAAGCAUCGGCUAACUCCGUGCCAGCAGCCGCGGUAAUACGGAGGAUGCGAGCGUUAUCCGGAUUUAUUGGGUUUAAAGGGUGCGCAGGCGGAAUAUCAAGUCAGCGGUAAAAUUGAGAGGCUCAACCUCUUCGAGCCGUUGAAACUGGUUGGCUUGAGUGAGUGAGAAGUAGGCGGAAUGCGUGGUGUAGCGGUGAAAUGCAUAGAUAUCACGCAGAACUCCGAUUGCGAAGGCAGCAUACCGGCGCUCAACUGACGCUGAGGCACGAAAGUGUGGGUAUCGAACAGGAUUAGAUACCCCGGUAGUC